CCUACGAGCGGCAGCAGUGAGGAAUAUUGGUCAAUGGACGAAAGUCUGAACCAGCCAUGUAGCGUGAAGGAUGACUGCUCUAUGGGUUGUAAACUUCUUUUAUAUGGGAAUAAAAUGUUCCACGUGUGGGGUUUUGUAUGUACCAUAUGAAUAAGGAUCGGCUAACUCCGUGCCAGCAGCCGCGGUAAUACGGAGGAUCCGAGCGUUAUCCGGAUUUAUUGGGUUUAAAGGGAGCGUAGGUGGAUUGUUAAGUCAGUUGUGAAAGUUUGCGGCUCAACCGUAAUAUUGCAGUUGAAACUGGCAGUCUAGAGGAUAGUAGAGGUGGGCGGAAUGCGUGGUGUAGCGGUGAAAUGCUUAGAUAUCACGAAGAACUCCGAUUGCGAAGGCAGUUUACUGAACUGCAACUGACACUGAGGCUCGAAAGUGUGGGGAGCAAACAGGAUUAGAUACCCGAGUAGUC
This 460-nucleotide ribosomal RNA is filed under the name uncultured bacterium. RNAcentral's name for it is "partial 16S ribosomal RNA". It matches the Rfam family "Bacterial small subunit ribosomal RNA", at positions 338 to 795 of the family's 1533-position model. The record is from RNAcentral.